UACGAAGGGGGCUAGCGUUGUUCGGAAUUACUGGGCGUAAAGCGCACGUAGGCGGAUAUUUAAGUCAGGGGUGAAAUCCCAGAGCUCAACUCUGGAACUGCCUUUGAUACUGGGUAUCUUGAGUAUGGAAGAGGUAAGUGGAAUUGCGAGUGUAGAGGUGAAAUUCGUAGAUAUCGCAGGAACACCAGUGGCGAAGGCGGCUUACUGGUCCAUACUGACGCUGAGGUGCGAAAGCGUGGGGAGCAAACAGGGAUUAGAAA
Molecule: ribosomal RNA, 260 nt
Filed under: uncultured bacterium
Lineage: Bacteria
Description: partial 16S ribosomal RNA
Rfam family: Bacterial small subunit ribosomal RNA
Source: RNAcentral